GAUGAACGCUGGCGGCGUGCCUAAUACAUGCAAGUCGAGCGAACGGACGAGAAGCUUGCUUCUCUGAUGUUAGCGGCGGACGGGUGAGUAACACGUGGAUAACCUACCUAUAAGACUGGGAUAACUUCGGGAAACCGGAGCUAAUACCGGAUAAUUUUUUGAACCUCAUGGUUCAAAAGUGAAAGACGGUCUUGCUGUCACUUAUAGAUGGAUCCGCGCUGCAUUAGCUAGUUGGUAAGGUAACGGCUUACCAAGGCAACGAUGCAUAGCCGACCUGAGAGGGUGAUCGCCCACACUGGAACUGAGAAACGGUCCAGACUCCUACGGGAGGCAGCAGUAGGGAAUCUUCCGCAAUGGGCGAAAGCCUGACGGAGCAACGCCGCGUGAGUGAUGUAGGUCUUCGGAUCGUAAAACUCUGUUAUUAGGGAAGAACAUAUGUGUAAGUAACUGUGCACAUCUUGACGGUACCUAAUCAGAAAGCCACGGCUAACUACGUG
This 497-nucleotide ribosomal RNA is filed under the name uncultured bacterium. RNAcentral describes it as "partial 16S ribosomal RNA". It matches the Rfam family "Bacterial small subunit ribosomal RNA", at positions 28 to 507 of the family's 1533-position model. The record is from RNAcentral.